This 841-nucleotide ribosomal RNA is filed under the name Ruegeria sp. Rg352. Its description in RNAcentral is "bacterial SSU rRNA". It matches the Rfam family "Bacterial small subunit ribosomal RNA", at positions 56 to 948 of the family's 1533-position model. The record is from RNAcentral. Lineage: Bacteria; Pseudomonadati; Pseudomonadota; Alphaproteobacteria; Rhodobacterales; Roseobacteraceae.
UGCAGUCGAGCGCACCUUCGGGUGAGCGGCGGACGGGUUAGUAACGCGUGGGAACAUACCCUUUGGUACGGAAUAGCCUCUGGAAACGGAGAGUAAUACCGUAUGAGCCCUUCGGGGGAAAGAUUUAUCGCCAAAGGAUUGGCCCGCGUUAGAUUAGGUAGUUGGUGGGGUAAUGGCCUACCAAGCCUACGAUCUAUAGCUGGUUUUAGAGGAUGAUCAGCAACACUGGGACUGAGACACGGCCCAGACUCCUACGGGAGGCAGCAGUGGGGAAUCUUGGACAAUGGGGGCAACCCUGAUCCAGCCAUGCCGCGUGAGUGAUGAAGGCCUUAGGGUCGUAAAGCUCUUUCGCCUGUGAAGAUAAUGACGGUAGCAGGUAAAGAAACCCCGGCUAACUCCGUGCCAGCAGCCGCGGUAAUACGGAGGGGGUUAGCGUUGUUCGGAAUUACUGGGCGUAAAGCGCACGUAGGCGGACUGGAAAGUUGGGGGUGAAAUCCCAGGGCUCAACCCUGGAACUGCCUCCAAAACUAUCAGUCUAGAGUUCGAGAGAGGUGAGUGGAAUUCCGAGUGUAGAGGUGAAAUUCGUAGAUAUUCGGAGGAACACCAGUGGCGAAGGCGGCUCACUGGCUCGAUACUGACGCUGAGGUGCGAAAGUGUGGGGAGCAAACAGGAUUAGAUACCCUGGUAGUCCACACCGUAAACGAUGAAUGCCAGUCGUCGGGUAGCAUGCUAUUCGGUGACACACCUAACGGAUUAAGCAUUCCGCCUGGGGAGUACGGUCGCAAGAUUAAAACUCAAGGAAUUGACGGGGGCCCGCACAAGCGGUGGAGCAUGUGGUUUA